ACAAUUAUACACGCAUGUACCUGCGUACCAACACGGCCGUAUAUAUUGUACACUCGUAGUGGGGGGCUAAGAAAACCACAAAAAGUAACGAAUGAUCCAGAAAGUAUUAAUCGAAAAGUUUAUUGGUGUUUUGAACAUAAACCUAUUAAAAGAACAGUAAUUAAUUUGAUAUAUUCACAUAAUGAACUAAAACUUUUUUCAAAAUUAUUAAAUCAAACAAAUGUUGGUGCUUCACUUAUCCACGAACUGUCAUUGGAUGGUCCAUAUACUGGAUUUGUUCCAUCAGACACAGCAUUAAACUUAAUUAGUUCAAAAAGUUUAAAUAAAUUAUAUGAAGAUGAUAACAAAUUAUAUGAGUUUGUUUUAAAUCAUUUUACAAAGGACUUCUGGCUUUACAGAGAUUUGUAUGGCUCUUCAUAUCAACCUUGGUUAAUGUACAACGAAAAAAGAGAUGCUCCAUCCAAAAUUACAAAUCUAAUGAAUAAAGACUUGAUUGUAAAAAUUGAUGGAGAAUUUAAAAAUUGUGAUCAUUCAAUUUAUUUAAACGGGUCGAAAAUUAUAAGACCUAACAUGAAGUGCCAUAAUGGAGUUAUACACAUUAUAGAUAGGCCUAUCAUAUUCCAGUAAUGAAUGCGACACAAUAAUAAACAUUUGUUUAAUAUCA
Molecule: long non-coding RNA, 664 nt
Filed under: Piliocolobus tephrosceles (Ugandan red Colobus)
Lineage: Eukaryota; Metazoa; Chordata; Mammalia; Primates; Cercopithecidae
Description: lncRNA (ENSPTEG00000000067.1)
Source: RNAcentral